GAGCAGCAACACUGGGACUGAGACACUGCCCAGACUCCUACGGGAGGCUGCAGUCGAGAAUCAUUGUCAAUGCACGAAAGUGUGAACAUGCGACGCCGCGUGGAGGAAGACGGCCUUUGGGUUGUAAACUCCUGUCAGCAGGGAGUAAGGAUGGUUUAUCUAAUACAUAAGCCAUUUGAUAGUACCUGCAGGGGAAGUCACGGCUAACUCUGUGCCAGCAGCCGCGGUAAUACAGAGGUGGCGAACGUUGUUCGGAUUUACUGGGCGUAAAGGGUCCGCAGGCGGCUUGGUGUGUCAGAUGUGAAAGCCCACGGCUUAACCGUGGAAUUGCAUUUGAAACUGCCAAGCUAGAGUACUGGAGGGGAGAAGGGAACACUUGGUGUAGCGGUGAAAUGCGUAGAUAUCAAGUGGAACACCGGUGGCGAAGGCGCUUCUCUGGACAGAUACUGACGCUCAUGGACGAAAGUUAGGGUAGCGAAAGGGAUUAGAUACCCCUGUAGUCCUAACCGUAAACGGUGUGCGCUAGGCGUGGGUGGCUUUACCCCCAUCCGUGCCUGAGCUAACGCAUUAAGCGCACCGCCUGGGGAGUACGGUCGCAAGAUUAAAACUCAAAGGAAUUGACGGGGACCCGCACAAGCGGUGGAGCAUGUGGCUUAAUUCGAUGCAACGCGAAGAACCUUACCUGGGCUUGACAUAUAGCUGCAUACGACCCGAAAGGGACGUAGCCUUCGAGGGUGCUAUACAGGUGCUGCAUGGCUGUCGUCAGCUCGUGCCGUGAGGUGUUGGGUUAAGUCCCGCAACGAGCGCAACCCCUGUGUUUAGUUGCCAGCACGUAAUGGUGGGAACUCUAAACAGACUGCCUGUGAAAGCAGGAGGAAGGUGGGGAUGACGUCAAGUCAGUAUGGUCCUUAUGCCCAGGGCUGCACACCUGCUACAAUGGGAUGUACAGUGGGAAGCUAAGCCGCGAGGUGGAGCAAAUCCUCAAAACAUCCCCCAGUUCGGAUUGUAGUCUGAAACUCGACUACAUGAAGUUGGAAUCGCUAGUAAAGGCGUAUCAGCUACGACGCCUUGAAUACGUUCCCGGGUCUUGUACACACCGCCCGUCACAUCAUGGAAGUUAGUUGCACCCGAAGUCGUUGAUCCAACCUUUUAUUAGGAGGAAGGCGCCUAAGGUGUGAUUGGUAACUGGGAUGAAGUCGGAACAAGGUA
Molecule: ribosomal RNA, 1209 nt
Filed under: metagenome
Description: bacterial SSU rRNA
Rfam family: Bacterial small subunit ribosomal RNA
Source: RNAcentral